Molecule: long non-coding RNA, 488 nt
Organism: Passer montanus (Eurasian tree sparrow)
Lineage: Eukaryota; Metazoa; Chordata; Aves; Passeriformes; Passeridae
Exons: 3
Source: RefSeq, a predicted model, not a curated record
GUGUUUGUUCUUCAUCCUAAUUCAUGAAGAAUCAUAAAUGCCAUCAUUUUUAUGCAAGCUUCCACUUGAAAGCAAAAGAAAACCCAUAGCAAAUGACCACAUUCAUCCUAAGGAUAUCUGGAAUAUCAAAUUUACUAUAUUAGCACUUCAAAUCUAUGUAUCAUAUUAACAAGCUGUACCUAGAGAGCAUUGACCUCUGCACCAGUGUACAAACCUGCCUGGACCUGAGAGAAGUGCAGCAAAAGGGAGGAAACCCGAGCAUGCAGGGCCACAGCUGGAUUCUGCAGCACCGUCCCGUGACCUGUCACUGAAGCUGAAGUAACAUCUCGGUCCUCAGCUUCUACAGGCAGGAGAAUUGAAACAGGUGACAAGCUGAAAAUAUUCCUAAGAAAAGCCUCACCAUGGAUAUUUGAGGAUCCUGAACCUUUCAAAUCAGUGUAAAUGGAAAAUCCUGAGCAUCUGUCACAGCUACCCUCAAUUAAGUGAAG